This 18106-nucleotide long non-coding RNA is filed under the name Pelobates cultripes (western spadefoot toad). The record is from RNAcentral. Lineage: Eukaryota; Metazoa; Chordata; Amphibia; Anura; Pelobatidae.
AGCUAACAGAGAGCCGUGCGGGAGGAAGACCAGGGAGUCAGAGUGGGAACUCUGACUCCCAUCCACCUGAGCCACCAGUGGACCCCAGGGAAUGUCACCAUCCUGCACCUUAAAGGUAGGAAACAUAAACACAUUAAAUAUAAUAUGUGUGUGUGUCUUUGUAUGUGUGUCUUUGUAUGUAUGUCGUGUGUGUAUGUGUGUCUUGUCUUUGUAUGUGUUGUGUGUGUCUUGUCUUUGUAUGUAUGUGUCUUGUGUAUGUGUGUCUGUAUGUGUGCCUGUAUGUGUCAUGUGUGUGUGUGUGUAUGUGUGCCUGUCUGUUUGUAUGUAUGUGUCUUUGUAUGUAUGUGUGUCUGUAUGUGUGCCUGUCUGUUAUAGUGGGCUAUAGUAAGUGGGCUACCUAGCUCAGCCUUCCUGCUGGGCAUUGCUAUAAGUAAGGUUAAAAAAUAGAAAAAAAGGGGAAAAAAAGGUAGGGAGGGGAAUUGAGGAGGGAGAGAAGGGGAGCUGACGCACAGAUGAGAAAUCAUAUUAUGUGCAGAGAAGUCGUCUGAAUAUCACCGAAAGAGGAGACCUUUGUUUGUUCCUUACGAAAAUCGAACCAGAUUUCAAAUAUUUAAUCUCGCAGCAUCAGCCUCAAGGUUCUCAUUAAUCUCUAGUAAAGGUAAUUUCAAUUUACUUUAUUGUUUUCUCAUUAAACUUUAUAAAGUUAAAAACAUUAUAAACAUGCAUUAAGUCGAAAUAAAAAGAUAAAUGUACGUACAUUUAUUUAUUUUAAAACGCCCUCCUUUCUAAAAAAUAUUCCGCACUUGCGUGAAAACUGGUGGGCUGUAAGGAAAUUUUUCCAUCAAGAAAGAUGCAUUAGUGGGCGGUAGGAAGAAAAAGGCUGACUACCACUGGUGUAGAGUUUAUAACGUUAAAGGGACACUCCAGGCACCCAGACCACUUCUGCCCAUUGGAGUGGUCUGGGUGCCAACUCCCACUACCCUUAACCCUGCAAGUGUAAUUAUUGCAGUUUUCAUAAACUGCAAUAUUUACCUUGAAGGGUUAAGUCCUCCUCUAGCGGCUGUCUACUAGACAGCCACUGGAGGACACUUCUGUGUUCAUAGAACACGAAAAGUGUGUUAUAACGACGCUGGAGGUCCUCACGCUAUGUGAGGACCUCCAGCGUCGCCGAAAUCCCCAUUUGAAAGCAUUAUUCAAUGCUUUCCUAUGGGGAGGUCUAAUGCGCACGCACAUUAGGUCUCCCUCACCGCCAGCCGCACAUGCUCAAUAGGUCUCCCCCGCCCGGGGCGGAACGUAAGUGGAGCCUGACCCAGCGCCGAGGGACAUCGGCGCUGGAUACAGGUAAGUCACUGAAGGACUUUUAACUCCCUCAGCAACAUGGGAUGGGGGGUGGGAGGGAGAGGGAACCUGCAGUGUGAAAACUGUUUGUUUUCCUGGCACUGGAGAGUCCCUUUAACCCCUUAAGGACACGUGACAUGUCAUGAUUCCCUUUUAUUCCAGAAGUUUGGUCCUUAAAGGGUUAAGCUUUGGGCUCAUGUACAGAUGUUUCUGGAGCCUAGCAAACCCCCCCACACCCCAUGUCCAGCAGGGUAAACACUGCAGUGCUCUGUAGUGGCUGUGGUGCCAGGAGUGCCUUGGUGCUCCUCCAGUGUAAGUAGUCAAGCUGUUUGCUAACGGUUUUACUUCUUACUCGAAAUCCACUGGGCAGAUGAUUCGCAAUACGAAACAAGUGAAGCCGACAAUGGACAAAAUUGUUUCGUGGUUCGGAGUUCUGUCUACAGUGCCAAAAAGCUAAUUGAUGAGAAAACAGAUAUUGGAACACUGUAAAGUUCACAUUGAACCAGGGUCGGUGCUGCCAUAAGACAAAUAAGGAAUUCACCUGGGGCGCUAACCUGUGUGGGGUGCUAUGGGCCACAGGAGGAUUUUUACCCUAUUUUCCUUAAAGGGACACUAUAGUCACCAAAACAACUUUAGCUUAAUGACCCAGUUUUGGUGUAUAGAACAUGCCCCUGCAGCCUCACUGCCCAAUUCUCUGCCAUUUAGGAGUUAAAUCACUUUGUUUAUGACCACUAGUCACAUCUCCCUGCAUGUGACUUGCACAGCCUUCCUAAACAAUUCCUGUAAAGAGUCAUCUAAAGUUUAUCCUUUCUUUAUUGUAAGUUCUGUUUAAUUUAGAUUUUCUUAUCCCCUGCUAUGUUAAUAGCUUGCUAGACCCUGCUAGAGCCUCAUGUAUGUGAUUCAAGUUCAAUUUACAGAGAAAGAGAUACAAUUGUUUAACCCCUUAAGGACUGGACUGUUUUUGCGAUGUUGUACAUUUGCGACCAGGCUUCUUUUUACACUUUUGUGGUGUCUGUGUUUAGCUGUAAUUUUCCGCUCUCUCAUUUACUGUUCCUAUACAAAUUAUAUAUUUUUUUUUAGGACAAAAAAAGCUUUCUUUACAUACCAUUAUUUAUAUAAUCUCAUGUAAUUUAAUUUAAAAAAAAAAUAUGAUGAAAUUUUUUUAAAAAAUACCGUUUUUUUUUACUUUUACUUGAAAAAUCUACAAAAGUGAAUAAAAGUGAAUAAAAAAAAUUGGAAAAUAAACACUUUACUUUUUAGUAAGUGUUCUCAGCUCCAUUUCUUUGGUUGAACAGAAGAUCCUCAGAAGGAGAGGGACAUCCUACUAAUAGUCCCAGUGCUGUUUCCAUGAGAGCCACAUGUCUUUGUUUGGCUCUCGGUUUGUGAGUACUUGACCACUUUUACUUACAUCUUUGCCACCAAGUUGCCGACAAUAUUACACUAUAUUGCUGUUUAUUUAUUUUUUGUCUAGAUAUUGUAAGAAGUGUGAUCCACCUACUGUAUGUAAUGCUUUAUGUUUAUUUGAGAGUGGUAUAAGGGGUUUCCCACUCAGGUGUUAGAUCGCACUCGCACUGUUCUCACUGUAUUUAUUAUAUCUUUUACUCUUUUAGGGUUACUAUGUUGCCCUUGAUGUCGUUUCCCAUUAACCCCAGGAAGGGGGGGGGGGGAUUGUUAUCGGAGCUGGUGUGCUUGGCUCUGGUGGGCCUUUUUAGCACUGUAAUGGCCGUCAGAGUGUGGGAGAACUACAUAUAACUUAAAUGAACAGUCUUAUUAACUUAAAAUAUUUAAACUAAUUAAACUAAGGCCUAUUUUUCGGGCCUCUGCUUGUUCCAGGGGUUGCGGAUGAAUCUGUGCUCGUUGUCCCUGGUCGAUGAUCUGGCUGUGUCUCUGAGGUCACUGCGAGGUUCGAUAUUCCCAAUGUGGUCAUCAGUGCUGGGCCCUCUGUGUGGUCGGUGGCCCUGUAGUGCUUGUCAUCUUUAGUGAUCCAGAGAGUUCCUGGUGUUGCCCAUCUAUAGGCGACUCCUGCGGCUUGGAGUUGUUUGGUGAUUGGUUGCAUACUUUUGCGCCAUAUCAGUGUGGCCCUGCUCAAGUCCUGAAAGAAGGAGAGUUUGCUAUCUUCAAAGUCAAGAGGUGUCUUCCCUUGGAUAGCUGCCAUUAGCACCAGUUUGUCCAACAUUGAUUGGCAUCUCAAUAUUAUGUCCCGUGGGGCUGAGUUGGGUGCUUGUGGGGAUUUGGUUAUCCUGUAAACCCCGUCGAACUGGAACGUUUUGGAUUGUCUAGUCGGUAGGAGUGUGGCCACAAGGCGUCUGGUGAAGUGUGGCAACUCUUCCAGCGGUAUUGAUUCAGGUACCCCUCGGAUUUUUAUGUUUUUUAUUCGGCGCCCUCUGUCAUCUAGGAGGGUAACUUGCCUGGACAUUGUCGCUUGUGCAGCUUGAAGGUGUCGCACCUUCUACCCCCAGUUCCUGGUAAUUCUCUCUUAGUCCCUUUACCUCCUCUUCUACCGCCUGAGUGUGCGUGGACACGGCGUGCACGUCUAGUUUAAGCACUGCCAGGUCCGCUUCCCACAUUUGUCUUAAGUUCUGUUGCAGGCCUGUCAGCAUAGACUGUAUAUCUUGUUUUGAGGCCGGUGCGCUGGCUUCUGGCAUCCACGUGUGUGUGGGGUGUUGGGGAUUAAGGUGUAGGCUGUCUAGCGGUUCUCCCUCCUCUGAUGGUACUGGGGAUGUUUCACGGGGUGUCUGUGCCUUUACUGCGCCUGGGGCCUGUAACAUUUGGCCUAUGUCGUGCUGCGGUUUCGGGGCGUUUUGGGGCAGUUUCUGCGUUCUGCGCCCCAACUCACCUGAGCUGUGUGUGCUGGGGUACCAGUCCUCAAAGUCUGGGACACUCCAGGGCCAGUGUUCUCCCAUGCUGGGUUGAGGCUGCCUCCCCGCCCGGUAGGCCUUGCCGCCUUAGCGUCUAUUUUUUGAGCCGGGUGUCAGGAGAAACGGCAUCGGCGGUCGCAGUGGGGUUCCCUGCGGUCUGUGGCUGAAUGUGUGGCCGGGAUUAAUGUGAGAUGCCUUCGAUGUUGCCGGAUUGCCGUGCGGUACCUCGGAGCCCCGGCAAUGUGCGUCCGCUCUGGUACGUUGCUAGGCUCCGCCCCAUCUUACGUGUAUUUUGAUAUAAAUAUAUAUAUUUUAAUAUCAAAAUACAGUUAGAAUAAAAUUUCAUAUAGAUAUAUAAUUUUUUUUAAUUUUUAUUAUUUUAAUUUUUUUUUAUUUAAUCUACUUAUUAUUUGUAUUUUAUAAUAAUAAUAAUAAUAUAUAUACAAUAUAUAUAGUUAUAUAUGUGUGUGUAAUUUAAUUAUAAGUGUAUUUUUAUAUUAAUAUAUGUACAAAUUAAUAUAAAAAUACACUUAGUAUGACUAUAUAUAUAUAUAGAUGUACACAUAUAUAAUUUUUUUUUUUUUAUUAACAUUAACUUUUAUUUUUUUAAUGAUUUUACACUAGCAGGGAGACUGCCCGUCAGCACAGCCAGUCCCCCUGCAGGCAGACACAUGGACACCUAUUGUGACCAUGUGAUCACUCUGUUGAGCGAUCACAUGGCCCCAGGGAUCCUAAUCCGCCAUGGGGAGACUGUCUGGGCUGCAGGCAGUCUCCCCACACCGGCAGCACUGCCGAUCACCGCCGGGGGAACGACGGCGAUCGGGUAAGUGCAUCUUACCAUUGUGACGGUUCAGGACCGGCAGCGGUAGGCAACGCAAAAAUGACGAUGACGGUCCUGAACCGUCCUCGGUCCUGAAGGGGUUAAGGUAAAUUACAUCUGAUUGAAAGUGAAACCAGUUUUUUUUUUCAUGCAGGCUCUGUCAAUCAUAGCCAGGGGAGGUGUGGCUAGGGCUGCAUAAACAGAAACAAAGUGAUUUAACUCUUAAAUGACAGUGCAUUGAGCAGUGAAAUAUGAGGCAUGAUCUAUACACUAAAACUGCUUUAUUAAGCUAAAGUUGUUUAGGUUCCUUUAAUAUUCUGGCUUUCAUGUCUGCCUAAGCACAGCAUAUGUUGAUUGGAAAGAACAUUUCAAUGCAAACAACCAUCCCCCUAUCAGUUGGUUUUCAAGCCCCCUCUCCCCCCAGUAGAAGGUAUGAUAGGUCACAGACAGGGAAACAGGUCCAUGUUUUGCUGAUUUAACCCCAUGCCUGCCUGUGGAAACUGACUCGCUCUGAAACAGUGUACUUCAUUCACUUUAAAAAUCAUUUAGAACUUUAAAAUUAACUCGGUAUACCCUCAAUAUGCCCUCAGUAUACAUUUUGUCACUACUCUUAUUAAUAACACUUUCAUUGGCAGUGUGUGUAUGUAUAUAUACUAGGCAAUCUGUAUGUAUAUAUUGAGUAGUGUGUGUAUGGAUGUUCUGGGCAGUGUCUUUGUAUGUGGAUGUAUGUAUUGUGGGCCGUGUAUGUAUGGAUGCCUGUAUUGUGGACAGUGUGUUUAUUGAUGUAUGCACUGGGCAGUGUAUACGUAUGGAUGUUUGUAUAGGGCAGCGUGUGUGUAUGGAUGCAUGGAAAUCGGCAGGGGGGAGGGGAUAAUUAGGGUCUGUUUGGAGAUAUAGUCCUGAACGUAGGUCCUGUAGCCUAAAAUCUUUUUGCCCUGAUAGGGUGCAACGAUCUGUGUGCCCGCUAUCCUUAAGAGUGGAAGCAGUGUAGUGACGGAGAUAGAGGGAAUAUGGCAUUCUUUCAUGUUCCCUGUGUAUCUUUAUCACUGUGCUGUUUCCUGUCUCCGCUGAUAUAAACUCAGAGAGCUGAGCAUGGAGAUGGACAGCAGAAGGGGCAGAAGAGCCUGGGGACAUUGAAAAUGAAGAGCAGGGAUGGAAGAAUGCUGUCAGCUCUCCCUACAGGAGGCUUGUGUGGCCACUGGCCCUUAAACAGAUACCGGUUUUGUAUUAUUGUGUGCCUGGGUGUACCUGUCUGUGUUUUUCUCUGUAUACCGAUUUGUGUCAGUCUGCGUGUGCCUGUAUUUAUUUACGUAUGACUGUGUGCCUGUCCGUGUCAGUUUCCACCUGUCUGUGUAUCUGUCCCUGACUGUGUCUGUCUGUGUGCGCAUAGAUGUGUGAGUCUAUCUGUGUCUGUGUGUAUGUAAUUGAUUGUGAGUAUGUCAGGAGGCAUGUUAUUUGGGAAGGACCAGGGAUGGGUCAUUUGGAAGGGGCACUUUAUAUACUAAGCUGUGUGUGUAUAGGUAGUGUCUCUGUUUCUUAAAUAUCUCAACAGUAUCUCUCCUUUCCCUAAAAGUUUCCCCGGUCCAUCUCCUUUCCCUAAAUGUCUACCUGUUCUUUCACCUUUCCUACAUAUAUGCCCAGUCCGUUCCCUAAAUGUCUUGUAAUUAAGCAGUUUUAAUGUUUAGAGCAUGCCCCUGCAGUCUCUUUGCUCGAUUCUCUGCCAUUUAGGAGUUAAAUCACUUUGUUUGUACAGACCUAGUUACACUACCCUGCAUGUGUCUUGCAUAGUCUUCCAAAACACUUCCUGAAAAAUAUCCUAGGUAUUCUAGACAGGGAUGUAUCCAUCGAAAGGCAAACAAGGCAUUUGCCCUGGGCGGCACUUUCCAGGGGGCGGCAAAAAAUUUAGCCCCCAAAUGCCCAGGCUAAUGCCUUGUUUGCUUCGUUUUAUGGGGGCCCAAGAGCUGGCUGGCCACCUUUAGGCCCCCCUGGGGCAGGCAGCAAUUUGUUUUCUGAGCGGGCGCGACCAGCAGUGAUCCCGGGAGCCGGAAUAUGACGUCAGUGUGUCAGUGAAUGUGUAUGUGUGUGUGUGUGUCUGUCAGUAAGUGGGUGCGUCUGUCAGUGAUUGUAUGCGUCUGUCGUUGUGUGUCUGAAUGAUUGUAUGUUUCUGUCAGAUUGUGUCAAAUCAGUGAGUGUAUGUGUGUAUAUGUCAGUGUAUUUGAGACUUGUGUGCUGGCCCGUGAGUGUGUGUCUGCCAGUCAAAAUGUGUGUUAAUUAACAGGAAGAGAUGUGGCCUUGGCAAGAAAGGGUGGGUAAAUUUAAAUUAGGGAGUGCCCGAGAUCUGCCAUGCCUAGGGCAGCACCAUUUCAAAAUACACCACUGAUUCUAGGUUCCUUUUUUUGCACAGUCUGCUUAAUCUUUAAUUUUGUAUCUCCUGCUCGGUUAAUAGCCUCCAAGACCCUGCAGGAGCCUCCUGUCUGAAAAUUAGAGCUCAAUUUACAGAGCAGGAGCAGGCUGAGGUGUGGCUAGGGUUGCAAAAUCAGAAACAAAAGUUAAUUAACUCCCAGGGAAUAUGCACACCACAGGCUGCUGGCCAUCUGGUCGCGUGAGUGUCCACCAGGAAGCGGCCACCUGAGGGAGAAUAGAGGCUACAAAGGAGCUGUACUCUUCAUGAACUUCCAGCACUGCCCCCUCAUGUGCACUGUUUAGUCUAUCUAUUUAGAGGCUGGACUGACAUCAUAACCCGGCUCCCAGUAUCACCACAGGCGGACAACAGGAGCAGUGCAGGAUAAGCAUAAAGAUUACACAAGCCCCACAAUGAAUCCCAGGGAGAGGAUCCACUCCAGCUCUCCCAAAUGUAGGGAAACUGGGUGGACUUAAAUGUCAGUGCCCUCUGUUUAUAAAUGUGUGUGUCAAUGUCCUCUGUGUGUAAAUGUGUAUGUCAUUGUCCUCUGUGUGUUUAUGUGUGCAUUAUAUUUUCAUUUUGUGACUUUUAUACUUCAGAUUAAUCAUUCAUAUGCUCCUCCUUACAUACACAAUGUUCACAUUAUGUCAUAUUUAUUUUAAAAAAAUUCUUUACAGUGUCCUCUGUAGGGCUUUAAUCAGGCUUGCAAGUUCAUACUCAUUGCUUAGAGCAGGGAUGGGGAAUCUUCGGCCGUCCAGUUGUUGUGGACCACAUCUCCCUUGAUGCUUUGCCAGCAUUAUGGUUGUAAGAGCAUUAUGGGAGAUGUAGUCAAAAACAUCUGUAGGGCCAAAGGUUGCCCAUCCCUGGCUUAAAGGGACACUAUAGUAACAAAUAAAACUUUAGUUUAAUGAAGCAGUUUUGGUAUUUAGAUCAUGCACCUGCAGUCUCACUGCUCAAUUCUCUACCAUUUAGGAGUUAAAUCAGUUUGUUUAUGCAGCCCUAGUCACACCUCCCUGCAUGUGACGUUCACAGCUUUCCUAAACACUUAAUGUAAAUAGUCAAAUAAUGUUUACACUUCCUUCUGUUUAAUUUAGCAUUUUUUAUCUCCUACUCCAUUAAUAGCCUUCUAUAACCUGCAGUGACCUCCUGUGUGUAAUUAAAGUUCAAUUUACAGAGCAGGAAAUAAAAACUUCUAAACUAAGUUACAGCUGACUAAAAAUUAACAUCUGUUUUAAUGAAGGCUGUCAGUCACAGCCAGGGGAGGUGUGGCUAGGGCUGCAUAAACAGAAACAAAAGUGAUUUAACUCCUAAGUGGCAGAAAAUUGAGCAGUGACUAUAGUGUCCCUUUAAGAUAGAGGCUCAUUAUUCGCACUGGAAUAAAGUAGUGAAUUAUUAUUUUCAUUGAUGGGAUGGACCUAGGUUUCUAAAAAGUCCAUACCCAUUGUGAUACGUUUUGCCUGUCAUGUUGUAAAGUGCAGCUAAAAAUCCAGAGCUAUACACUGUUUAAUCCUAUACAGGACAGAUCCAAUAGACAAUCAUGGAUAAUAUUUUGAUUUGUAUGGUAGGAGAUGUUCUCUUUUUUUUAUCUAACACAAAAUGUUAUCUAUGCAUUUCAUAGUAAUUUGUACCUAGCACAAUAUACAAAUAACAUUUUAUUACCAUCAAAGUGCCAUCCUAUUGUACUUGCAUAGCAUGGAUGCAAUUUAAAGCAAGGAUUCAAGGAUGAAAUUUCGACAUUAUUAUUUCGAAACCACUGAUUAGCGAAUGAACUGUACUGAGAAAACAUGAAUCCCCAUCAUAAAGACUGACAGUAUAAUAUCCCAGAUAGUGAAAAAAACCUGAAUCCCCAUCAUAAAAUACUGACGGUACCAUAUCCCAGAUAAACCCCAACUGCCCCAGAUAACUAACCUAGCCCAGGAGACCAGGUGAAUAAACAACAAGUCAGUCAAACCAACAAACAAGGGGAGAGAGAAACUGGGAGGGAAAUAUUCGCCUCCUGUCAUUAAUAAAAUUAAGAUUAUAGUUACACUAAAGCUAGUAUAAUCUACAAUUUUAUAGCAUGACAGGAGGCUUCAUAUUUGCUAUUUUAACGCUCGGACAGCAAAGACCAUAGAAACACGAUCCGCCGUACCAACCUAAACUCUGCGAAGAUAGCUCCUCGUAACAGGCAGGAAAGCGUACGAUGUCUUGGAGAAAACCGCCCGCCAUGUCGGUACCUGAAGUCGCCGUGUUACGGACUGAAGUGAACCGAAAAAACCUAUACGCCCCACCAAUGCCAACCACAACUAAGCGGUACAUGAAGGGCGAGAAAAAGGGAAAAACCAUUUAAACAAACGGUGACGUCGAACAUCGCCUAAAGGUGGGAGCGCUACCAAAGUAAGAAUAUGACCAUCAGAUCCGACUAAGGCUGAUAGACAACUAAGGUCCGAACCGCCGAACCCAUCUGAAAGAAAAACAAGGUAUAAUAACGGAAAUAACUCCAGAAUCAGUGAAUGGGCAAAACCCGACAGAACCCUCCAAAGGAGCAUGAUAAAAAUGCAUGUACCCCCUGGGGAGAUGAAUACCCGUCCUCAGGAAUCGUAAAGGGAAUUCUAAGCAGAGCGAGGCCCGCCGACAACAGUCGUACGCGCUACCUAAUCUAAUUAAUAUGGCAGUCCUCGGUAAUAAAGUGACCGAACAAUACCCGAACCCUGUAAAAGCGGUAGCAAAAUUGGGAGAUCCGUACCAGACCCAACUACGUCAGGGUCGCUAUGCAGACCAAAGUCUCACAAUCCCAGAGAUCAAAUGAGCAAGGGUCCAGGGAAUCCAGGAACUAGGUUCGACUCUGCCAAAGCGGAGAUCAUAAUUCCAAAGUAUCAGCAGACCGAGGCACCUGUAGAAAGGUCCUGAGACCAAACAAGCGGAGGAGACUCGUCCGCAUCUCCGUGUCGAACACUCCUGGAGGGAAGCGUCCAUCGCUGAGCAAACGGGUCCGUCAUCCAGCCGAACUGGUCCUCCUCCGUGGACUAAAGUCUUGAUGCCGGGUCCUCCCAGAGAAACUAUUCCAUAUGUACGAGAACUCGGGCAGAGGAGAGCAUAGGAGGCACCCCCUUGCCUCCAAUCCAUCCUCCAGGACUCUACUCCUUGAGAUGUAGAGGAGGUCGAUAUUUCCCUGGUUGAAAAUGAAAUCCAGGGACUCUAACAAGGGAAAACGCAGUUUGUGUCUGACCUUUCGGUUUGGGAGGUAGACCGUACAGCAAGAUGUCCUAUAUCGAUGAAGAGUCGCGUCCAGAUCCCAACGCGUGGAAAACGAGAAAGAUCUCUUCAAAUAGUUCUGGAAUUCCUGAAUGUCCUCAAUUCCUCCCAACCUGCCAACCAGGUUGAAUUGUCGCCCAAAUGACCGAUGCACAAGAUACCUAUCUCACCAGGGAGAAAAUAGAGGCCACCUUACCAGAACUGGGCCCCGCGGUCCCUAGAAGUUUCUUGAGGGCCGCAUCUAAUUCAAAGUAACCAAUGAAUAAACGUUCAAUCAUAGACUCGUGCUGGGACUCCGAGGGGCUCAGAUCCCUUCAUCCCAAGCACCUCCAGCAGACCAAAUUGCGUUUAGGAUAGGGUCAUCUGCCACCCCAGACUCUGGGCCCCGUCUGGGAUGUCAUCCAAAAGUGGAGGAAAGUGUGAAAUUCCGGAUCAAGGGUCCAAUCCCCUAUAAAAAGUACGGGUUGGAGCCGAGAUAAGCUUCCAUCAAGUAUUUCCAUGUAAAAAAGGACACAUAUUAUACUUCCUCGUAUGUUUCGCUAGCACAACUCACUCGUGUAGCGGACAACAAUCGCCUUGCCAGUGCGGACUUAAUAGUAUAAGCACUGCAGUGGGCUGCACUCAGGAUCUCCUGAAUACUAGACAGGUGCUUAACCAGCAAAACCACAGUGCCCCAUGGGGGUCUAAGUCUGGGUUUGCGGCUACUUAGUUCUGGAGCCCGGCUGGGAAUACCGCUCGAAUUAUCCUGCGGCUUCUCAAGCCAGCGGUCUACGGGCCCAGAAACGCACCGAUGGUGCUAGGUGAUCGGGCAGAGACCAUUCCAAAGAAACCAGGUGAGCAAUGGAUCGAGGGUCGAACAGGGGUUCGUUUAAGGCGAUCCACGAGACGACCUCUUCUUCCACGGUCGUCGGGGCCCCUGUAGUGGACUUUGUUCUAAGUGUCAUCGGCAGGGAGAUAGGGGCAGCACCCCAUAUAGUGACCGAGGCAAGUUGGGCAGCGCAUGCAAUGCACAAGCAUGAGUAUGUGGCAGUAGGCUUGGCAUGCAGACAUUCUGGCACAGACAACACAGGCCAGAUCAAUGGGGCACAGACAAAGCAGGCCAAUCAGUAAGGCACAGACAAAGCCGGCCAAGUCCUGGGGCACAGAUAAGUCAGGACCUUCAGAGAUGUACAGGUAAGGAACUGCGCAUUCCAUUCUUCCGAUAAAAUGUACUUUUCGCUCUUCAGAUAAGAUGUACAUAACACUUCUUCAGAUUAAUAGCACAUAACACACUUCUGUGUAACUGUAAUUAACACUCUUCUGUGUAACUGUACGUAACCUUCUUCUGUGUAACUUUACAUAACACUCUUCUGUGCAGCCAUACAUAACAUCCUUCUGUGUAAACAUACAAUACGUUCUUCUGUGUAACCGUACCUAACGCUCUUCCGUGUAACUGUACAUAACGCUCUUCCGUGUAACUGUACAUAACACUCUUCCGUGUAACUGUACAUAACUCUCUUGUGUGUAACCGUACAUAGCAUUCUUCUGUGUAACUGCACAUAGUAUAUUACUGUGUAACUGUACAUAGCGUUCUCCUGUGUAACUGUACUUAGCAUUCUUCUGUGUAACUGUACAUAACAUUCUUCUGUGCAGCUGUACAUAACAUUCUUCUGUGUAACUGUACAUAGCCUUCUACUGUGUAACUGCAUAGCAUUCUUCUGUGUGACUACCUAGCAUUCCAUUGUGUAACUGUAGAUAAUGCACUUUAGUUAAAUAGUGCAUGACACUCUGUAAAUAGUGAACUUGCAUAAUGAGUACCCCUGUAGUCAGGGAACUCACCAACUGAGUUACCUCACAAGAGGUGCUCCAUUGGUCAAUAUGAUAAAACAGAGCGCUGCAAGCAAUCAUCUGAACAAACAAAAAGGGGGGGAUGAGUAUAAGUGGUAACACUGCCGGCUGUGCCUGUAAACCUUAAGGGGUUGUGCACAGCUCUAUAUAGCAAGCCUGUGCUCUAUACCAUCCACUAUGGUCCCCAGUAGCCUAACCUGCCAGCCACAUGGGGCACAAAGCCAGGACAGCCUGAGGGUGCAAUGCGCCCAAGUCAUAGCUGAGUCCCAGUCAAAGCUACAGCACCUGUGACUGCCGUCGACGGAACUAAUGCGGUAAGUCUGGAAACUGGCCAGCCCCGCCCCCACCCGGCCAUGCGGUUGCGGGGAAGUGGAUUCUCUGUGCCGCCGCACUGCAUUGGAAGGUAUCUACCAUCUAGCCCCCCCCCCCGCACACUGUGUAGCACUGUUCCAGGAAGCACAUUUAGUAACCAUCUGAGGAGUGGCCAGUGGAUGUAUCUCUCUAGGCUGUAAUGUAAGGACUGCAUUUUCUCUGAAAAGACAUUGUUUACUGCAAAAAGCCUGAAAGGAAUGGUUAAACUCACCAGAACAAAUAGAAUGAGCUGUAGUUUGCUCUGGUGACUAUAGUGUCUCUUUAACCCCUUAAGGACCAAACUUCUGGAAUAAAAGGGAAUCAUGACAUGUCACACAUAUCAUGUGUCCUUAAGGGGUUAAGUGAAAAUUCAAAGUGAAUUUAAAAUUUAAGGCCAGAGUUGCUCAAGUGAAAGAACAGCUAACAGAACAUUUUUUCAGUUAGACUAUUACUUUGAAUUUAAAAUUCACUUUGAAUUCUCACUUUAGUAAAUAGCCCUGUUAAUGGUUGGUAAUAAAUGGAUAUCCUUGAAUACCAAAGAAUAAAUGCAAUACCAAUUACGUGGCUGAAAAUAAUACAGUGUUUAAGUACUUGCUGAUUUCUAAGAGACAUCUGAUUACUUAAUAAUUUGUGCGUAAUAGAUUUGCUUGUCAUAUCAAUGAAAUAAGCUUCACUGGCAACUUUGUGACAUUGAGAGUUCUCAUGUUCUAAUAAUUGUGUUAUGAUGUGUCUUCAGUUGCUGCAACCUUGUAUUAACUGUUUGUUUAUACUUUUCCUGGCAAUAAAACAUGCAGAUGGAAUAAUGUACACUGGUUUUUUUUUUUUUUUAAAUUGUUUAUAUAUAUAUGUGUAUAUAUAUAUAUAUAUAUAUAUAUAUAUAUAUAUAUAUAUAUAUAAUUAACCAUUUAAGAACCGAGUUUCAGUUUGCUUGUUUUGUACUUAAGAACCAAAGCAACGUUGACAUUUGUUUAACCCCUUCAGCCCAGUGGGAGUGGAACCCUGAGGGUGGGACCUAAAGACCAUAUAGUGCCAGGAAAACUAGUUUCUUUUCCUGGCACUGUAGUGAUCCUUUAACAUCUCCUCAGUACAGCAAUACUCUUUGUAUACCUUUGCAAAGAAACAAUCUUAAUCCCUUCCCUAAUCCUAUACCGAACUCUAAUGCUAAAUCAGAUCAUAAUCCAAUCUAUUCCUAAUCAUAAACAUAAAGCUCACCCUAAUCCUAGUCCGAACCCUAAUCCUAUUUCUAACUCCUAUAGCCCUAAUCCUUACCUUAAUCUUAAUCAUAACUCUAAUAAUAGCGUUAAAAGGAUGCCCUCUGCUGAUAUCCGCAGAAAAAUUCCCUUGCCUGCACUAAUCCUAAUCUGAAUCCUAAUCCGAAUCCUAUCAAAAGCAUAUGGGCAUGGAGGAAAUGUCUCUGCGGGUCUCCCACAAUCAAGCUGCUCCAGAGAAUCACCAUGGCUGAGCGACAUUGCUUCUUCAGUUGUUAGAUCAAUUUCAACAUUUGACAUUGUGACAAGCUCACGGCGUCAUUUUCGUGAAAGUUUUCCAUUUAUCUUGAUAUCGCUGUAUUGUGUACCUGUAUUAUACAUAGAGCAGUGUGUGUCUGUAUAUGCAGUUGCGGGUCAACAAUAGGGAGGGGGGGAGGGGGUUCCUAUAAAGUAUAAUUAGGUGUGAAAUGUAUUCUGUGGGCUAAUCAGGUUAAAUGCUGCACUGUGAGUGACCACCUGCCGUGGGAGCCAGCAAAUCUAUCUACUACAGCAAGGGGCUGUGUUGAUGUAACCAGAGAUUGCUGUGAAGGGACAGUGGGUCCAAUCAAGAUAACCUUUUAUUGUCAUGGUGUAUUGGCACAGGGGGAGGUGGUAAGUCUUGGAAGGAAUCCCUUUGUUGCUUUGUAUUUCUUUCCCUGUGAUCUGAUCUGUAUUCCCAUUGGUGAAAGUUUUGUGUAAUGUUUAUUUUACUGUAUGCUGUGAUCUUUGUUAGCUGGAUACAACAAACAGGGUCAGAUGGAGUCUGAGUUCCGAGGAGUUAUCAAGAAAGAAGCUGGUAUUGUCUCUUCCUUGAGGUCUCACAGGAAAUGGUUAUUCAUUGUCCUCUAUAUAAUAAUUACUAAUAAUAGUAUUGCCAGAAGACUGGAUGGAUAGAAUAUCAUAUAGUAACCAGAUAUCAGCUCAGUAAAUCCUGCAUAUGCUACCAAAGGGGAGUCCUAGCAUUUAGUGGAGCAGUUUAGUGCUGCAAGUUAUGUAAAAAGAAUACCCACUGACGAUAUAUUAAGGCUGUAUCGUCACAUACAUCAUUUGGCUUUAACAUGGCUGUGUAAUACAAAUGCAAAUACAAACCUAUAAAAUUAAUCAUGCACUGCCGCCAUCCCCAUGUGUUCCCCAUUAAAGGUUAAUAAUUGUGUUGGGUUUAGAAAUAUACCCCUCUCUUUCUCACUUUAAUGGCCAUUCGACUACUACAUAAAAAUCUCCUGUUAUUUAAAUGUGCAUAGGAAUUUGGGAUAGUGCACAAGUAACUUUUUAUUUCCUUGUUUUUUAUUGUAUAUAUUGGGGUUGAUGUGUACUAUAGUCAUUGCCAACCAGAGUAGUGGGCGUUUGAGCGCAGGGCUUAAUUUUGUAUUUGGUUUUCUAUUACAUAGCUAUACUACAGUGCUGUCUCCUACCCCAUGUGCUCCCUAUUAAGUGUGUAUGGGUUUAGAAAUAUACCCCUCUCUGUCUCAUUAGAGAUUUUGCCUUUUAGUUGAAAGAAGCAAGGUGAAAUGUUAGUGUUGGACUCACCUAAGAGAUAUUGCCUUGAAGUGGCAGGUGAGCUUACACUUGAAUUUCACCUGUCUUGUUUUUUAAUUACUCACUGUUACUAGUAGAUAAAAUAGAAGGUCCAGGCACUCCAAGGUACAAACCAGACAAUUUUAUUGAACCCACUCCAUCACAACAUUUCGACCUACACGGUCUUUGUCAAGCAUUUGGUCUCUGGUACGGAGACUGUCCGAGUUGCACCCAGUUACAUACUACUUAAAGGGACAGAGUGCAGUUCCACACCCUACCAUAACUGUUACUAGUAGAUGACUCAUCUUACCUUCAUUAACUGCUUAACUUUCUUUCCUUGGCACCACUUUUGAGCUUGUAAGUGGCUAACAUUGGUACUAAAAUAAGAAAUAAUGGUCUCAGGCAAUUACAAAGCCAUUAUAAUAAUCAUCUGAACACCAUGAUACUUUAUUUCAGUGAAGUUGUUAUGGGGCCUCAAGCUCCCCAGCGUUUACGUGAUUAUCUGUUCUGAAAUGGGAACAUAACAUAACCCACAGGGCAUGAAAAUAAAUAUGACAUAAUCAGUCUAACAAGGUAUGCUAUGUUUAACCCCUUAAGGACCAAACUUCUGGAAUAAAAGGGAAUCAUGACAUGUCACACAUGUCAUGUGUCCUUAAGGGGUUAAGGAGGAUCUGUUUGUCUAAAUUGGAUGUGCAAAUGGUUUGUGGUCAACAUGUAACUACAAGUGACACAACCAGAGCAUUUGUAACAACCUUUCUUCUGUAAGGGUUUCUGAGCCUUGUGCAACAGGGUGCAUUGGUUUUAAACAGAAUAUUUUUAACAUUCUUACUUCUUCUGUAUGCUGUCUGUUAGUUUCUGUAAAGACUGAAAUUUGUAGUAGUCUCUAGACAUGAGAUUGCAGCUCUUUCUAACGGACAAUGCAAUCUGAUCACUUGUGGAAUCAAAGGAAUUGUAAAUUUAGAAGUUAGUUUCUUUGUACAAGUGGUGAAGUGCUGUCCAAGGACUAAUGCAAUACCUGCUUACUAAGACCCCUUUCAAGGAAAGACUAUGUAAUUGCCUCAAUUUGUUGCUCACAUCACACUGUAUCAGAAUUGUUCAUUAGCAUCCUUAAAAAUUGUAAGAGAGUUUUUGAGAGAUGAUGGAUGAAAUAUAUUGGCGUGUAACAAUGCAUUACAGUCUGACACUUUUUAUAUAUACAAAGUGUAUCCAGCAUGGUUUUACAGUUGGUUUUCAAAAUUGUAUGUUAAACCUAAUUGAAUAUGGGUGCCCUCGUUCCUCAAAUCCUCAACUAUGAGCAUACUAGAAAUGGGUCCAUUCCACACAAUGAAGACGUUAUCCACAAAUCUAUCAUAUAUCAAGAAGAAACUAUUGUAACUUAGCAAAAUCUUUGCUCAUUAUUACUUGUAUGUAAAACAGUUGCAUAAGUUAAAGUUAAGUUGAACCCAUCACCAUUCUCUCUUGUUUGAUGUAUACUUUUUUUCAUAUCUAAAAUAAUAGUUGGUAAGAGUCAAUUCCAAGCAUUCCAAAAUAAAUUCAAUAGCAUAUGUGGAAGUAUUGUAUAAAGACUCUCUGGCUAUAGUCACAAAUACCACAUGAUGGUUAGAAAUGAUAAUGAUUAAGUUUGUCACCAGUGUCUUUCAAAUGCUUUAGCCUAGGGUUCCAAUUUCUCUCCCUUUUUAAUUUUUUAUUGUUAUUUUUAAAUUAUUUAAAAAUUUUAUUGUUACUUUUUUCUUAGGGUCUAUGUAAGUACUUUUCACAGUAUACAUCUACCAUGAUUGUUUCCAUCUACAUUGGUUUCUAUAGGUUGCACAUAAGAGCGGUCCAUCUUGCAUUGAUUUAUCAGAUUGCAUUACUACUUUGGGUGAUAAGACACACUUUGGCACUUUUUAAUUCUAAGUAUUCACACUUACCUGAUAGAAUGUUUCCUUGAAACCGGGACAUGCAUGUUCUGAAGUGGAUUCCAUGGUAUCAUGUUGUAUCAUGGCGUGUGUGUGUGUAGAGUGCAUUAUGGGAAAAAUGCCAUAUACGGUUCUUUUAUCUUUAGGAUAUUAUUAUGAAAUGUAUACCUAUGAUUGGUGUAAGUUAACAUGUCUUACAUUGUGUUAUUUCAGUCCUUCAAAGGAUAAAAAAACAAGGUUCCAAGAGCAUGGGGAUGAAGAGGGUUCGACCCACCACCUAACAGGACAUCUAACAGUUAUCCCUGAACUUCAUCUCUAUCCCUAACACCUAUUUUUCUUCUCCUAUUUCCUACUCUACUAAAAAUAGAAAAUGAAGCAGUAGACAGAGUAAACCAAUUAAGUUCAACGACCGACCCUCAACAACGCAUGCGUGCAAGCUAUCAUUCAUUAUUAUGUACCAAGGGUUUAUUUAACAGUAUUGCCAUGUGAUGCAUUGUUACGCAAAACAUGUUGUACAAUGUUAUUGUCUCUUGACUCCUGUACUCUCUGAACAAUCUGAUGUAUAUCUCAUCUACUUGCCUUUUUUGAAAAUAAAGUAUAUAAAAAAACAAAAACAA